GGAUAAUCUUAGCUCUUGCUGAAGGUCCUGCACAAGGUCUGGAAAUUAGCAAAGGCAAAUCAUUGCAAGAUGGUGUGAAUAUGCAGAUUGGUGAUUUUCUAAUCAAUACCAUGUCACUUGGGAGUCUAUCUGUAGCUCCCUUGUGAAAAUGGACUCAGAUGUUACAAUACAUUCCAACAUCUCUUUCAAGG
Long non-coding RNA from Hemicordylus capensis (graceful crag lizard), 191 nucleotides. RefSeq lists it as uncharacterized. The record is from RefSeq and is a predicted model, not a curated record. Lineage: Eukaryota; Metazoa; Chordata; Lepidosauria; Squamata; Cordylidae. The transcript has 3 exons.